ACGCUGGCGGCAGGCCUAACACAUGCAAGUCGAGCGGUAGAGAGAAGCUUGCUUCUCUUGAGAGCGGCGGACGGGUGAGUAAUGCCUAGGAAUCUGCCUGGUAGUGGGGGAUAACGUUCGGAAACGGACGCUAAUACCGCAUACGUCCUACGGGAGAAAGCAGGGGACCUUCGGGCCUUGCGCUAUCAGAUGAGCCUAGGUCGGAUUAGCUAGUUGGUGGGGUAAUGGCUCACCAAGGCGACGAUCCGUAACUGGUCUGAGAGGAUGAUCAGUCACACUGGAACUGAGACACGGUCCAGACUCCUACGGGAGGCAGCAGUGGGGAAUAUUGGACAAUGGGCGAAAGCCUGAUCCAGCCAUGCCGCGUGUGUGAAGAAGGUCUUCGGAUUGUAAAGCACUUUAAGUUGGGAGGAAGGGUCGUAGAUUAAUACUCUGCAAUUUUGACGUUACCGACAGAAUAAGCACCGGCUAACUCUGUGCCAGCAGCCGCGGUAAUACAGAGGGUGCAAGCGUUAAUCGGAAUUACUGGGCGUAAAGCGCGCGUAGGUGGUUAGUUAAGUUGGAUGUGAAAUCCCCGGGCUCAACCUGGGAACUGCAUUCAAAACUGACUGACUAGAGUAUGGUAGAGGGUGGUGGAAUUUCCUGUGUAGCGGUGAAAUGCGUAGAUAUAGGAAGGAACACCAGUGGCGAAGGCGACCACCUGGACUGAUACUGACACUGAGGUGCGAAAGCGUGGGGAGCAAAC
This 745-nucleotide ribosomal RNA is filed under the name uncultured bacterium. RNAcentral's name for it is "bacterial SSU rRNA". It matches the Rfam family "Bacterial small subunit ribosomal RNA", at positions 33 to 773 of the family's 1533-position model. The record is from RNAcentral.